GACGAACGCUGGCGGCGUGCUUAACACAUGCAAGUCGAACGGAAAGGCCCUGCUUUUGUGGGGUGCUCGAGUGGCGAACGGGUGAGUAACACGUGAGUAACCUGCCCUUGACUUUGGGAUAACUUCAGGAAACUGGGGCUAAUACCGGAUAGGAGCUCCUGCUGCAUGGUGGGGGUUGGAAAGUUUCGGCGGUUGGGGAUGGACUCGCGGCUUAUCAGCUUGUUGGUGGGGUAGUGGCUUACCAAGGCUUUGACGGGUAGCCGGCCUGAGAGGGUGACCGGCCACAUUGGGACUGAGAUACGGCCCAGACUCCUAUGGGAGGCAGCAGUGGGGAAUAUUGCACAAUGGGCGGAAGCCUGAUGCAGCAACGCCGCGUGCGGGAUGACGGCCUUCGGGUUGUAAACCGCUUUCGCCUGUGACGAAGCGUGAGUGACGGUAAUGGGUAAAGAAGCACCGGCCAACUACGUG
Molecule: ribosomal RNA, 468 nt
Filed under: uncultured bacterium
Lineage: Bacteria
Description: partial 16S ribosomal RNA
Rfam family: Bacterial small subunit ribosomal RNA
Source: RNAcentral